This 253-nucleotide ribosomal RNA is filed under the name uncultured bacterium. RNAcentral describes it as "partial 16S ribosomal RNA". It matches the Rfam family "Bacterial small subunit ribosomal RNA", at positions 524 to 776 of the family's 1533-position model. The record is from RNAcentral.
UACGAAGGGGGCUAGCGUUGCUCGGAAUCACUGGGCGUAAAGCGCACGUAGGCGGACUCUUAAGUCGGUGGUGAAAUCCUGGAGCUCAACUCCAGAACUGCCUUCGAUACUGAAGAGCUCGAGUCCGGGAGAGGUGAGUGGAACUGCGAGUGUAGAGGUGAAAUUCGUAGAUAUUCGCAAGAACACCAGUGGCGAAGGCGGCUCACUGGCCCGGUACUGACGCUGAGGUGCGAAAGCGUGGGGAGCAAACAGG